UACGGAGGGUGCAAGCGUUGUUCGGAAUUACUGGGCGUAAAGGGCGCGUAGGCGGUCUCACCAGUCCGGUGUGAAAGCCCGGGGCUUAACCCCGGAAGGGCACUGGAUACUGUGAGGCUUGAGUUCGGGAGAGGAGGGCAGAAUUCCCGGUGUAGGGGUGAAAUCCGUAGAUAUCGGGAGGAAAACCAGUGGCGAAGGCGGCCCUCUGGAACAGAACUGACGCUGAGGCGCGAAAGCGUGGGGAGCAAAC
Molecule: ribosomal RNA, 250 nt
Filed under: uncultured bacterium
Lineage: Bacteria
Description: partial 16S ribosomal RNA
Rfam family: Bacterial small subunit ribosomal RNA
Source: RNAcentral